AUUGAACGCUGGCGGCAGGCCUAACACAUGCAAGUCGAGCGGAUGAAGGGAGCUUGCUCCUGGAUUCAGAGGCGGACGGGUGUGUAAUGCCUAGGAAUCUGCCUGGUAGUGGGGGAUAACGUCCGGAGACGGGCGCUAAUACCGCCUACGAACAGAGGGAGAAAGAGGGGGAUCUUCGGACCUCACGCUAUCAGAUGAGCCUAGGUCGAAUUAGCUAGUUGGUGGGGUAAAGGCCUACCAAGGCGACGAUCCGUAACUGGUCUGAGAGGAUGAUCAGUCACACUAGAACUGAGACACGGUCCAGACUCCUACGGGAGGCAGCAGUGGGGAAUAUUGGACAAUGGGCGAAAGCCUGAUCCAGCCAUGCCGCGUGUGUGAAGAAGGUCUUCGGAUUGUAAAGCACUUUAAGUUGGGAGGAAGGGCAGUAAGUUAAUACCUUGCUGUUUUGACGUUACCAACAGAAUAAGCACCGGCUAACUUCGUG
This 484-nucleotide ribosomal RNA is filed under the name uncultured bacterium. Its description in RNAcentral is "partial 16S ribosomal RNA". It matches the Rfam family "Bacterial small subunit ribosomal RNA", at positions 30 to 507 of the family's 1533-position model. The record is from RNAcentral.